GACGAACGCUGGCGGCGUGCUUAACACAUGCAAGUCGAACGGAAAGGCCCUGCUUUUGUGGGGUGCUCGAGUGGCGAACGGGUGAGUAACACGUGAGUAACCUGCCCUUGACUUUGGGAUAACUUCAGGAAACUGGGGCUAAUACCGGAUAGGAGCUCCUGCUGCAUGGUGGGGGUUGGAAAGUUUCGGCGGUUGGGGAUGGACUCGCGGCUUAUCAGCUUGUUGGUGGGGUAGUGGCUUACCAAGGCUUUGACGGGUAGCCGGCCUGAGAGGGUGACCGGCCACAUUGGGACUGAGAUACGGCCCAGACUCCUACGGGAGGCAGCAGUGGGGAAUAUUGCACAAUGGGCGGAAGCCUGAUGCAGCAACGCCGCGUGCGGGAUGACGGCCUUCGGGUUGUAAACCGCUUUCGCCUGUGACGAAGCGUGAGUGACGGUAAUGGGUAAAGAAGCACCGGCUAACUACGUGCCAGCAGCCGCGGUGAUACGUAGGGUGCGAGCGUUGUCCGGAUUUAUUGGGCGUAAAGGGCUCGUAGGUGGUUGAUCGCGUCGGAAGUGUAAUCUUGGGGCUUAACCCUGAGCGUGCUUUCGAUACGGGUUGACUUGAGGAAGGUAGGGGAGUAUGGAAUUCCUGGUGGAGCGGUGGAAUGCGCAGAUAUCAGGAGGAACACCAGUGGCGAAGGCGGUUCUCUGGGCCUUUCCUGACGCUGAGGAGCGAAAGCGUGGGGAGCGAACAGGCUUAGAUACCCUGGUAGUCCACGCUGUAAACGGUGGGUACUAGGUGUGGGGUCCAUUCCACGGGUUCCGUGCCGUAGCUAACGCUUUAAGUACCCCGCCUGGGGAGUACGGCCGCAAGGCUAAAACUCAAAGGAAUUGACGGGGCCCCGCACAAGCGGCGGAGCAUGCGGAUUAAUUCGAUGCAACGCGUAGAACCUUACCUGGGUUUGACAUGGAUCGGGAGCGCUCAGAGAUGGGUGUGCCUCUUUUGGGGUCGGUUCACAGGUGGUGCAUGGCUGUCGUCAGCUCGUGUCGUGAGAUGUUGGGUUAAGUCCCGCAACGAGCGCAACCCUUGUUCACUGUUGCCAGCACGUUAUGGUGGGGACUCAGUGGAGACCGCCGGGGUCAACUCGGAGGAAGGUGGGGAUGACGUCAAGUCAUCAUGCCCCUUAUGUCCAGGGCUUCACGCAUGCUACAAUGGCUGGUACAGAGAGUGGCGAGCCUGUGAGGGUGAGCGAAUCUCGGAAAGCCGGUCUCAGUUCGGAUUGGGGUCUGCAACUCGACCUCAUGAAGUCGGAGUCGCUAGUAAUCGCAGAUCAGCAACGCUGCGGUGAAUACGUUCCCGGG
Molecule: ribosomal RNA, 1343 nt
Filed under: uncultured bacterium
Lineage: Bacteria
Description: 16S ribosomal RNA
Rfam family: Bacterial small subunit ribosomal RNA
Source: RNAcentral